This 317-nucleotide ribosomal RNA is filed under the name uncultured beta proteobacterium 350ev. RNAcentral describes it as "bacterial SSU rRNA". It matches the Rfam family "Bacterial small subunit ribosomal RNA", at positions 9 to 332 of the family's 1533-position model. The record is from RNAcentral. Lineage: Bacteria; Pseudomonadati; Pseudomonadota; Betaproteobacteria.
GAGUUUGAUCCUGGCUCAGAUUGAACGCUGGCGGCAUGCCUUACACAUGCAAGUCGAACGGUAGAGUAGCAAUACUUGAGAGUGGCGAACGGGUGAGUAAUAUAUCGGAACGUGCCCAGUCGUGGGGGAUAACGUAGAGAAAUUUACGCUAAUACCGCAUACGAUCUAAGGAUGAAAGCGGGGGAUUCGCAAGAACCUCGCGCGAUUGGAGCGGCUGAUAUCAGAUUAGGUUGUUGGUGAGGUAAAAGCUCACCAAGCCGACGAUCUGUAGCUGGUUUGAGAGAACGACCAGCCACACUGGGACUGAGACACGGCCC